UCAAAUUACCCCCGUAACUUCGGGAGAAGGGGGGCCACAGACUGUCAAACUCCAUGCGGGUGGCAGCGGUAGGUGGCCGCAGAGACCAGGGGGAAGCGACUGUUUACUAAAAACACAGGUCCGUGCGAAGUCGUAAGACUAUGUAUACGGACUGACGCCUGCCCGGUGCUGGAACGUUAAGGGGACCGGUUAGUCCGCAAGGGCGAGGCUGAGAACUUAAGCGCCAGUAAACGGCGGUGGUAACUAUAACCAUCCUAAGGUAGCGAAAUUCCUUGUCGGGUAAGUUCCGACCUGCACGAAUGGCGUAACGACUUCCCUACUGUCUCAACCAUAGGCCCGGCGAAAUUGCACUACGAGUAAAGAUGCUCGUUACGCGCGGAAGGACGGAAAGACCCCGGGACCUUCACUAUAGCUUGACAUUGGUACUCGAAUUGAAUUGUGUAGGAUAGGUGGGAGACUAUGAAGCUCGGACGCCAGUUCGGGUGGAGUCAAACUUGAAAUACCACUCUGUUGAAUUUGGGUAUCUAACUUCGGACCGUGAUCCGGUUCAGGGACAGUGUCUGGUGGGUAGUUUAACUGGGGCGGUUGCCUCCUAAAAUGUAACGGAGGCGCCCAAAGGUUCCCUCAGCCUGGUUGGCAAUCAGGUGUUGAGUGCAAGUGCACAAGGGAGCUUGACUGUGAGACUGACAGGUCGAGCAGGGACGAAAGUCGGGACUAGUGAUCCGGCACCUGCGAGUGGAAGCGGUGUCGCUCAACGGAUAAAAGGUACCCCGGGGAUAACAGGCUGAUCUUCCCCAAGAGUCCAUAUCGACGGGAUGGUUUGGCACCUCGAUGUCGGCUCGUCGCAUCCUGGGGCUGGAGUAGGUCCCAAGGGUUGGGCUGUUCGCCCAUUAAAGCGGCACGCGAGCUGGGUUUAGAACGUCGUGAGACAGCUCGGUCCCUAUCCUCCGCGCGCGCAGGAGACUUGAGAAGGGCUGUCCCUAGUACGAGAGGACCGGGACGGACGAACCUCUGGUGUGCCAGUUGUCAUGCCAAUGGCACGGCUGGUUAGCUACGUUCGGAAGGGAUAACCGCUGAAAGCAUCUAAGCGGGAAGCCUGCUUCAAGAUGAGGUCUCCCACCCCUUGAGGGUUAAGGCCCCCAGCUAGACCACUGGGUUGAUAGGCCAGAAGUGUAAGCCUGGUAACAGGUUCAGCCGACUGGUACUAAUAGGCCGAGGACUUAACC
This 1226-nucleotide ribosomal RNA is filed under the name metagenome. RNAcentral describes it as "bacterial LSU rRNA". It matches the Rfam family "Bacterial large subunit ribosomal RNA", at positions 1717 to 2925 of the family's 2925-position model. The record is from RNAcentral.